RNAcentral lists this non-coding RNA (123 nucleotides) under Sorex araneus (European shrew). Lineage: Eukaryota; Metazoa; Chordata; Mammalia; Eulipotyphla; Soricidae. The record is from RNAcentral.
GUGUUAAAUGAAAGGAGAGAAGGUUAGCACACACCUUGACAAGGAUGGAAGAGACUUCGGCCUGCAACACGCAUACCGUUAAGGCACUGCCACCUACUUCGUGGCGUCUAGUCAGUGUUUUUC